ACAGAGGGUGCAAGCGUUAAUCGGAAUUACUGGGCGUAAAGCGCGCGUAGGCGGUUUGAUCAGUCGGGUGUGAAAUCCCUGGGCUUAACCUAGGAAUUGCAUUCGAUACUGUCUGACUAGAGUAUGGUAGAGGGAAGUGGAAUUUCCGGUGUAGCGGUGAAAUGCGUAGAUAUCGGAAAGAACACCAGUGGCGAAGGCGACUUCCUGGACCAAUACUGACGCUGAGGUGCGAAAGCGUGGGGAGCAAACAGG
RNAcentral lists this ribosomal RNA (252 nucleotides) under uncultured bacterium. RNAcentral describes it as "partial 16S ribosomal RNA". It matches the Rfam family "Bacterial small subunit ribosomal RNA", at positions 525 to 776 of the family's 1533-position model. The record is from RNAcentral.